RNAcentral lists this long non-coding RNA (661 nucleotides) under Equus caballus (horse). RNAcentral's name for it is "lncRNA (ENSECAG00000050438.1)". The record is from RNAcentral. Lineage: Eukaryota; Metazoa; Chordata; Mammalia; Perissodactyla; Equidae.
UAGUUUCCUUAUUCGGUAUAACAAGUUAUCACAAACCUAGGAGCUUCAAACGACACAAAUUUAUUUUCUCACAGCAUCAGGAGUCUGGGUUCAUUGUAAAUGGGUUCUCUGCUCAGGCUCUUACAAGGCUGCAGUCAAGAUGUCAGCCAGUCUGUGAUCUUUUUUGGAGCUACAGGUCAUCUUCCAAGCUCAUGUGGUUAUUGACAAAAUUUACUUUCUUGCAGUUGUAGGACUGAAGCCCUCCUAAGGGCCUACCCAGUUCCUUACCAUGUGGCCCUCUCCAUAGGCAAUUCACAACAUAGCAGCUUGCUUUUUCAAGACGAGCAGCAGAGUGUCUCUCUCCAACCUCCCAAGACUGAGUCUUAUAUAAGCACUCCAUCAUUUUUGCCCUUUAAGCGCUAGGAGUGAUUCAAGAAGUAGCUCUCUCCGAGAAGGCAUCAGCUGACACAACUGGGACUUAUGGUCUGAGAUGUCCACAGACAUGCUCCUGGGUUUUCGCACCAUAGGCCGGAACCAAGGCAAGGAACUGAAGAGGUGGGCAUUCGAUGAGGACUCCCCAUUUGUCCUCUUUCUCCAAGCUUUGAAACGUUACAGGUAGGCCUGUUACUAGUUCCCAUAAGGAAGAGGGCCAGGAUUGGGGCCAGCUAGAUACCAUGACUUG